AUUUAAAUAAUUUAAUAAAAAUAUUGAUUUGUGGGGUCAAAAAUAUGAUGAUUAAUUUCAUUUUAAAUU
RNAcentral lists this transfer RNA (69 nucleotides) under Promustilia yajiangensis. RNAcentral describes it as "tRNA-His". Lineage: Eukaryota; Metazoa; Arthropoda; Insecta; Lepidoptera; Endromidae. The record is from RNAcentral.